CCGUUUUCAUCUAUUUAAAACUGACUAAACCAACUAGUUCUUAUCAAAAUUUAAAAAAAUGAUAUUGUUCAAUGUUUCUCCGAUUUUAAAGCCCUAGUUAAAAUAAUUGGGACUUAUUUCCAAGCAAAACUUAAAAGCACAAAGAUUCUCUUUAUGUAGUCACUAUGAAACAUUUUCUUCAACCAAUUUACGCCGUAAUUGGCUUGACUAAGGCUGUAAAAGAGAGAAAAUGUCAAACGGUUCAAUUUUAUAAAAGUUUUUGGCGAUACUAGUUGGUUCG
This 280-nucleotide long non-coding RNA is filed under the name Actinidia chinensis (golden kiwifruit). Its description in RNAcentral is "long non-coding RNA (ACHI_LNC000179)". Lineage: Eukaryota; Viridiplantae; Streptophyta; Magnoliopsida; Ericales; Actinidiaceae. The record is from RNAcentral.